RNAcentral lists this ribosomal RNA (426 nucleotides) under Salmonella enterica subsp. enterica serovar Muenster. RNAcentral describes it as "partial 23S ribosomal RNA". It matches the Rfam family "Bacterial large subunit ribosomal RNA", at positions 137 to 601 of the family's 2925-position model. Lineage: Bacteria; Pseudomonadati; Pseudomonadota; Gammaproteobacteria; Enterobacterales; Enterobacteriaceae. The record is from RNAcentral.
GACUCGUCACACUAUCAUUAACUGAAUCCAUAGGUUAAUGAGGCGAACCGGGGGAACUGAAACAUCUAAGUACCCCGAGGAAAAGAAAUCAACCGAGAUUCCCCCAGUAGCGGCGAGCGAACGGGGAGGAGCCCAGAGCCUGAAUCAGCAUGUGUGUUAGUGGAAGCGUCUGGAAAGGCGCGCGAUACAGGGUGACAGCCCCGUACACAAAAGCGCAUGUGCUGUGAGCUCGAUGAGUAGGGCGGGACACGUGGUAUCCUGUCUGAAUAUGGGGGGACCAUCCUCCAAGGCUAAAUACUCCUGACUGACCGAUAGUGAACCAGUACCGUGAGGGAAAGGCGAAAAGAACCCCGGCGAGGGGAGUGAAAAAGAACCUGAAACCGUGUACGUACAAGCAGUGGGAGCACCCUUUGGGGUGUGACUGCG